This 75-nucleotide transfer RNA is filed under the name Bradyrhizobium sp. C9. Its description in RNAcentral is "tRNA-Thr". It matches the Rfam family "tRNA". From Rfam's summary of the family: Transfer RNA (tRNA) molecules are approximately 80 nucleotides in length. Lineage: Bacteria; Pseudomonadati; Pseudomonadota; Alphaproteobacteria; Hyphomicrobiales; Nitrobacteraceae. RNAcentral also lists the same sequence under 1 other name. The record is from RNAcentral.
GCCGGCGUGGCGCAGCGGUAGCGCAGCGCACUCGUAACGCGAAGGUCGCCAGUUCAAAUCUGGCCGCCGGCACCA